Oncorhynchus gorbuscha (pink salmon) is the source of this 1773-nucleotide non-coding RNA. The record is from the annotation of a RefSeq genome assembly. NCBI's taxonomy places the organism in Eukaryota, Metazoa, Chordata, Actinopteri, Salmoniformes, Salmonidae.
GGUGACUUUGAAGUGCCACGUUGAUCAGAUUCUCGCCUUUUGCCACUCAGUGACUUGGAUGAAAGUAGACGCCAGGACUGGAACAAUGAGCACAAGAACUAACGUAAAGAUUAAUACGACCUCUGAGGUAGGGAAACGGGACAGAGUAUGUUUGGCAACCAUCACCAACGCAUUAGUGAGCGACUCUGGCAUGUACUACUGUUUGGCUGUUCACUCCAAGGCGGUCCACACUGGCAACGGAUCCAAUCUAAUCAUCACAGAGAGCAGCACUGAAUCCCCAAACAUCAAAAUCGUCUCAUCAGACAGCGACGGCUCCUCCGCCGCUCUGCUGUGUUUGGUGUCAGGAGUGGUCCCGUCUCAAGUCCAUGUGUUCUGGCUCAUAAACGGGAGAGAGGACAGUGGACUUACUGAGUCCACCUGGACAGACAACAGUGAUUCAGCCACAGAGUUCACUAGGAACCAGAUUCUGGUCCAGGCAGAGGAGUGGGACAGAGGGGUUCAGUGUACGUGUGUGGUGGAGUUUGAGGGAAAUUCUAUCAACAAAACUGUGCAAAGAAUAGAUCUUGGCGUGCUGUGUUACGUCACAGUGUGGAUAUACAGACUCCUGGGAAUAACUGCCUGGCUUCUGCUGUUGAUCCUGGCUACCACUGUGGCAGCAUGCAGGGGCAAGACUAGAGGUGUUCAGAGGAAUGAUACCUCAAUGAACAGGGGACGAAGGCAUAAUUCAUCAUAAAAAGGUUUUACAGUUUGUCAUUUGUACAAAGUCAUUUUGGUCGCAUUGUCGUGUGUCAAGACCAUUGGGAAAAGUUGUUUAUUGUUGUUGUUGUUGUCGUCGCUUGCUUAACUGUUGCUAACUAUUCAAAAAUGAAAGUGUAAAUUGGGAAAAAGCUCAUUAGAAUUUCAAAUUGCAGUUAUAUAUUUUUUUCUCAUAGAACAUAUUCAUACUGAAUUAUAAUCCACUGUAAAUGCUCUCUCAUUACAAAGUCCUGGGUCAGAUAUCCACUUUUUUUCUUAUUCGAAACCUUUGCGCGAGUGAUCGAAAUGUUAUUGAAUUCCCCUCUGUGAACCACACUUUGCUAGGCUUCAUGCAGGCAACUGUGUCGUUACAGACUUCGAAUGAAUCCAUUUCAAGAAAAUGUCCAUGUUUAAAAAGAUGCAAUACAAUAGUAUUGCUACAUUCCUAUAUUCUCAUGCUAUGCUGUUACUGGCUUAUUUGUUAAAGUAAGAAACUUUUCCAGAAAUCCUCACCAUCUGUUUUGACUACUAACUUGUAAAGGAGAGACAUGAUACCCAACUCUUUCUCUUAAUAAGUGCAUAUCAGAUAAUCAAAUGAAAUCACAUUUUAUUUGUCACAAUGCACCGAAUACAACAGGUGUGGACUUGACUGUCAAAUGCUUCCUUAAGAGCCCUUUCCCACCAACGCAGAGUUAAAACGUUUAUUUUUAUGUGCUAAAUAAAAAAAGGAAAUAAUAACACAGAUACGUGCAUAUUUUAUGCUAAAAUAAUUGCAAUUGCUAUGCAAUAACUGUCCUUCAAAUGAAGUAAGCAGUGUGCAGCAGCGUCGCUUAUCCAAAUCAUCUUCUUUAGUCCAACAGACUAAAUGGGUAAACGUGUCCUAUGUGAGAUAGGGCGACAUUAUUGCUGGUCUCUGUCGUUUUGCUUUCAUUUCUGAAAGAGGAGGUCAGAGACCUGGCAGUGUGGUAACAGAUUAACAACCUCUCUCUCAAUGUGGGCAAGACAGAGGGCCGAACAGGCCCCCAUUAACAUCGAUGG